This is a long non-coding RNA of Cyprinus carpio carpio, 1241 nucleotides long. Lineage: Eukaryota; Metazoa; Chordata; Actinopteri; Cypriniformes; Cyprinidae. The record is from Ensembl.
AAUUGCUGGAAUCACGAUGAGGAACGAGGAAACCCUAGACAAAAAUCCUGCUACACGAGAGACGAAGUAGUUGUGUGGCACAUUUUACCAUCUAAAUAACACUAACCUUAUUACAUCUGAGAAAUGAUCUACUUUUGUCAGGUGAUUUUUAUUGACAUUGUACCAUUAAGUUACGUUUAGCUUUUUUGCUUAUGGUCAAUAAAAUCACCUGCUUGAUGCAUUCACAGUAGAUUUGAAUGGAGCUCUUGGCUUUGAGAACUGAAUUCCAAGGGUGUCUGUUGUAUAUUCAGCCCACGGAGUUCAGUUCUUAAGUUUGGAUGCUCACUGUAUCUGCUCUGACCUACGACCUGAAUCAAAACACCUGCUACUGGACUGGAAGCUCGCAUUCAGACCUGCCUCCAUCAAGCUCAUUAUGUUGUGGCAGCGCAGAGGGGAGAAACUGGCUCUGUGAGUGUUAGUCUUUUCAUAUGCUUAUCCAUGAGAGGCACAGAUGGCCCCUUUUCCGCAUACCCUGGGACCCGCUAUUGAUUAAGCUUCUGCUAUAAAAAAAGACAUAAUUACAUAUGAGACUCUGAAGGAAACCAGACACGGAAGUUCAGCUAUAUGCUGUCCUGUAAAUGUCUCCAUCAAUCAGCUGAGAUGUGAAUUUUUGGCUUGCAUUUCUAGGCUUACAUGACACACAUGCUACAUUCUGUCCCAAAGAGGAAAUAAGAAAUAAGUGUGAAUCGCUGCUUCCUGGCAAUGACCUCAUCAAAGGUCAUGUUUACAUUUCCCUUGUGCAACAGAACUAUUGUGAGAUACACGCACAGGGAGGUUUUUUCAGAAUACGUACUGAUAAACAGAACUAUUUGCUUCCUUUAACCCAAGAGAAUGGUGUAAACCAGCUUCAACUUAAUGUGAACUCUUUUUAUAAUAAUCGACAAGAACAGUAUUACAGUAAGUGCAAUUUUGUGCCCCAGUUAGCCUGGGCUUUGAGUAUGCUGCUGUAUAAAUAUCUAAAUUAUUUAGAGAUUGUGGGCAGUUAAAAAUUCAUAUGACAUAUUACGGUACUUUGGGUCACAGUAUGUUACAGUGUUCUACAGUGUACAGUAAUAAGUAUUAGUAAUGAACAACAUGUACACACUAGAGAAGUACUUUGUGCUGCUUAUACCUAUGAAAAACUAUUUGUGUUAAGGUGAUUUUUUUAGUUUAUGCUUCAAGUCUUUUUUACUCCUCAGCUUCAUACAGGUGUCCUAGAAGAG